This is a non-coding RNA of Phascolarctos cinereus (koala), 6161 nucleotides long. NCBI's taxonomy places the organism in Eukaryota, Metazoa, Chordata, Mammalia, Diprotodontia, Phascolarctidae. The record is from RefSeq and is a predicted model, not a curated record.
UUGGAAAUAAUGUCAGCUUAUUUUUUCAAUAUAUUGAUCAGUUUUGCUGAAUUUUUUUCUCUUCUUAAAAAUUUUUUUAUGUUAUCUCCCCAGUUAGACUGAGUUCCUUGAUAGCAGGAACUAUUUAAUUCAGUUUAAUUUUUCUUUUGGCCUUUCUUUGUAUACCCAAUGCUUGGCACAUAGUAGAUACUUAAUGAAUACUUAUUAGCUGACUGACUGGGGUCCUCUGAGCACAACGUCACACCCUCCAAGUAACUGGCACAACGUGCCCUAUCUUAUAAGGGCCAUGUCUAUGACACUGCAAGGGAUGGGUGACCAGAAUUAUCUAGGCUGGUUGAUUUGAUUAAGUUAAUCAGUCAAGUAUCAUUACUAUGUGUUUUGUAGACUCAUACUAAGUGACCAGAAGGGAGUUGUUCUUCCUGGCCUCAUUGGGCAGCCAGUAAGUAGAAGUUGCAGAAAAGCAGACUUAAGCUCCAUAUAAGAAAAAAAGUCUGAAAAUUAAAAGUAUCCUAAAAUGGAAAGGACUCCCUCAGGAAAGAGUGGUCUCCAAAUAAAGACAGGAGGAUCACUUGUUGAAGAUGCUGUAGCUGGCAUUCCUGUGCAGAUGAACUAGGUAGACUAGGUAGCCCCUGAGGGCUUCCUUCAGCUCUGAGAUUCUGAGAUUCUAAUUCUAUGAAUAUGAACUCAUACUCCUACAUAAGUACAGGAUCUGAAUUGAAAGAGACUUCAGAGGACAUCUAGUCCAACCCUUGCCUGAGCAAGAAUCCCUCUAUUAAACUCUGGCUUCUUUGCUAUUCCCCAUCUAAAACAUCUCAUCUCCUGCCUCCAAACCUUCGCCAAAUAAUCCUCCAUGUUGGGGAUGCUGUCCUUUCACCUCUCUCUUUUAGGUUCUUUAGCUUCUUUCAUGUCUCAGCCAGUGUGCCACCUCUUAGUUAAAACCUUUCUUCCUUUUGCCCCUCAUUAAUGUACUCUUCCCCUGCCCCCACAAAUUUUCUUUAUAUUUAAUUGGGGUUGUUUUUAUUUACUCAUAUGUGAACAAGUUUCCUGCUCCCAUAGAUAUCCCCUUGAGGGCACAGCCAUUUUAUUUGUCUUUAUUUUCCUAGUAGCAAAAAACUGUGCAUACAGUAAACACUUAAUGACUAUUGGGUUGGAAUAAAGUAUAUGGAAUGAAAUUGAACUGAAAGAACUGAAUUGAAUGAAAUUGAAUCAAAUUUAAUACCUAAUAAGUAAUAAACCAGGCUUUGCUUGACCGCCAUUUGUGAAGGAAAAGCCAUUACUUCACACAAGACAUUCUCAUUAAAGCUCAUGGAAUAACUGUUAGCUUUUUUUCAUCUUAUAUCAAAGUUGAAUCUGUCUUUGAGGCCAAUUGGAACCGUUUUGAUUCAUCCUCCUCAAAAAAUACUCUUUUAAGUGCUUACAGACAGUGAUCAUAUCAGCCCCACCCAAGUCUUCUUCAGACUAAAUAUCCCCUGUCCUUUCAGCUGAUCUUGGCACCUAUUGAAUGGUUUCUAAUCUCAUUCACAUUCUGAUCCACCUCUUCUGCAAGGUCUCUCAUUUGUCAAUAUCCCUUCUGAAAUGUGGUGUUUAGGGGAUACUAUGGUAAAGGGAUAUUCUUACGGCAAAAGAAAUGGCAGUUAUAAGGAGUUCUGAGAAACAUGAAGAAUAACUUGGUAUAGUAUAGAGGCUAAAAGAGCCAGUAAGGAAGAAAGGGUUAAAAUCCCAACUUUGACACAAACAUAGCCACUUAAUCUCUCAGGGAUCCCAGCCAACUCUCUCAGACUAGAAGUUGCAGAGAAGGUGCAGACCUGCAUUGGUAGAGUCUUCUUACCUGGAAAUUUCCUAUACUGAUUAAAUCACAAAUCAGGUCCCCAUCCUUAUUCUAGAGAAAUAUGUGAAGAUUUGUAUUAAAUGAUACAAUAUGAAAUUAGCUGAAGAACAAUAUACAUGGUGGCUACAAUGAUUUAAAUGAAAAGGUCACUUAAAGGAAGUCAAACACUGGCUAGAAAACCUGAACUUUUUAAAAACUAAUUUGAUAACUGUAUAUCAAUAUUAUUUAUUUCCUUUGUAAUGCUAUGUAUUCUACUUUAUGCAUUAAAAAUAUGAUUCUAAGAAUGUGCCCCUUUACUUUACCAGUCUGCCUAAAAAACCCAGGACACAAAACCAUUUAAGAACCCAUGGUCUCAGAGAGCAAAGAAUGAAACAUGGCUCUCGCUCUUGGCCAAGAGGUGGAGAGAAUGAGGAGAGAAUAUUGAAUACAGUGUGAGCUUUGGUUACCAUAUUGCUUAAUUUUGUCUCUGUGUGUGUGUGUGUGUGUGUGUGUGUGUGUGUGUGUGUGUGUGUGUUUUAGAAAGGGGAAAUUUAGUGGGGAAGGAGGUAGGGGAGAGGUAUAUCUAGAAAUGAGAAGACAUCAAUAAAACUUAUUUUAAAAAAUAUAUCUGGUACUUUAAACAGAAUAUAGUAUUUCAGAGAGGAUCUCACCAAGGUAGAGUGUUAUCAUGAGUCUUCCCCUAGACACUAGCCAUGUAUCUACCAUAUGCCAUUACUGAGUGUCUAAAGACGUCUUCAUUCCCUUCUGGAUAGUAUGUUGUGAGCCAGAUCUCUCAGUCAUAAUCAUGACUUCAAUCCACCAACCAACAAGCACCUAUGGGGGGCUUAUUAUCUGUCAGGCAUUGAGUGCUGGGGAGACAAAAAAGCAAAAAUAGCCCCACACUCAACAAGUAUACUUUCUAAUACAGAGACCACAUAUGCAUAGAUACAAAAAUUUUUAAAAUAUAAAAACAGAGUAGAUGGAAAGUAGUCUUGGAGGAGAGGCACUAGUAGUUGGGGAGACUGGGAAAGGCUUCUUACAAGAAAUGAUCCUUGAAGUGAGUCUUAAAAGAAGGCAGGAAUUUUACAAGGUCAAGGAAGAGCAUUCUUGGGUUCAUAAUGGAAGCCAGAAUGCAAGGAAGUGAGAGAAGACUACAUUGGGAAAUAGUCAUCCAAUGAGCCUUAGGGAAGACUUCAAUACUGCUCCUGGAAAGAGUUGGGAUGGGGAGAAAUAGGAUGAGAAGGAAGGCAGUGUUGGCAGCAUAGAGCAGGGAGAUAGCAUUCAGUGAUAUGAGAAGCUGGGAAAGUUGGAAGUUUGGAUAAGCCUCACCCAGAGGACUGGAUGCUUAUCCUGAGCCUACUACUGGUCCAUCUCUUCAAAAGGUGGCUUCCAAGCCCGUACUUGCAAUUAAUCAAACAUGCAAUUACCAAAUUGCUCACACAAAUUGGGCGGUUAGUUGCCUAACCGCCCAAUUUGUGCUCUGCCCGAUGCUUCUUGCAUGACCAACCUGGUAAGUAGGUGAGCAGAGAGACGAGUACACAGCCACAAAUGUGAAGGAGAACUCUGGCCUACACUGGCCCUGGCUCAGGAUGGUCUGGAGAAAGGGUUGGAAAGACUGAGGUCAGCCUCAUUCACAGAUAUCACCACUUUAAGUUUUAGUCCUGGUCAGAUGGAAAACAGAAGUUUAGAAAGAAAAAAAAAACAAACUAGUAUUUGAACAUACCAGAGCCACAAAUAAGAGAUGUUCCAAAUUGGUUGUCAAAGUGGACCAAGGUAAUCUGUUCUCUUUUUCUCUAUGUGGCUAAUAAAAAUGGACUUAAAUAUUGGUUGGACUUAAAGAAGGAAUGCAGGAAGGCUUUGUGCAUGGAAAGAAUGAUGCAAAGAACCUUUACAAGAAUCCCCAUUUCUACCACAACGUGGCAUCUUCCAGCAAUUGCUCAUUAAAUUUCCCAGUACAUUCUUCCCAUUUCCCAUCAUUUCUAAGCCUGAGAAAGAUUUCAAAUCAAGAAUAUACUCCCAUUUCCAUCCCUCAUCUUUCUGUUGGGUGUGUGUAGCAGGGGGCUCUCAAUUGUUGAUUUCCUUGUUAGAUCACUUUCUCUAUGUAUCUGUUUUUUUUUCCUCCCCAUAGAAUGUAAGCUUAUGAAGGUCAAAGACUGUUGCUUCAUGUUUGUCUUGUAUCCUCAGCUUAGCGCAGUGCUUCACACAUAAUAGAUGCUUUGAAAAUGCUUCAUGGAUAAAUGAAUGAAUGUAUGAAUGGAAAGAGCCCUGGACUUGAAGUCAUAUGAUCUCAUUCAAAUCCUAAUUCUGCUACUUAUUAUCUGUGCGACCUUCAGAAAACUCUCUAAGCCUGCUUUUUUUUUUUUUUGCUAUAAAAUGAGGGGCUUGGACCAGAUGACCUUGGAGUACCCAGAUCUAAGAUACUAUGACAUACUAUGAAACUACAACCUUGAUGACCUCCGGUUAGUAUGGUGCUUGGCUCAUAGGAGGUGCUUAAUAAAUACUAAUUGACUGAAAAUUUGACUAUAAAAUGGAGUUAAUAUUACUUGUACUACCAACCUCACAGACUACAAACCCCUUGAGGACAGAGGACACCUAAGGUCUCAUUCUCUAUCUAGUCCCCAACAGGCUCCACCAUAGUACCCAUCAGAGGGGCCCAGAAAUGCCUGUGGAGGGCUUUAGUGGACAUUUCCAGUGCAUUCUGGGAGUUGCAGCUCUGAGACCCAGGUCGGGGAAGGUCACUUCUGGUCAACAAUUUAACUCUCCUGUGACCAGAGGAGGAAGACAAGAAGCUGUAGGAGAAAAAACACUAGAUUGUUUUAGUCUGAAGCCUGGAUUUGAAUGCUGACACUGCCAUCUACCAGCUAAGGUAUCUCAGAGAAAAGAACCUCAAGAAAAGGCCUCCAGAGAAGAGAAGACCAACAGAAGUUGCCAAGGGGCAGCUUGAAGUUUGAUGAAGGAGCUAAAUGCUGUCCACAAUCAGAAUAGGCUACCUAGGAGGUGUGUGGGGGCUUCAUCAUUUCAGCAGAAUUUUAAUGACACUAGUUAUGGAAGUUAUAGCGAGAACACUUGGUCAAGCACAGUUUGGACUACAUGACCGCUGAGAUCCCCUUCAACAAUGAGGGUCAAUGAAUGACAAUGCUUCCCAGAAGGAACUGGAGGCAGAAGUCCCCAUGUCCUCUCUUCCCAGUGCCUUCUCCCCAUUUUUCUUCUCUUGCUCAAAAAGUCUCUUUUCAUUUAGAGUCAGAGGGUGGUCCCCAUAUCUCAUGAAUUAUGUAUGCCUUGUUUGUUUAUGGUGCCCUGUCCUUCCUGCUGAGAGCCCAGAGCAGUAUGGUGGGGAAGAUGGUAGCUGAUAAAUCCUGAUUAACCUUAAUGAUAAGGUGGUUCAUCUACUACUUGCAUAGCCAGAGCUAGAGUCAGUGGGAGUACCCAUGCUUACUGUAUGAACCCAAUGGCCUCAGACAGCAUCAUUAUGUUUCCUCUGUCAAAUGAGAAGGUUGGACUGAAUGCUCUUCAAUAUCAUCUUCACCUCUGUGCUUGAUCUUAGCCAAAAGGCUUAGCGGAGGUGUGAGCCCCUGUGGACCUAAUCUUCUGGGAGUCUGCACCUGUGUGUUUGCCAUGUUCCUUCCCUCUAAUAUAUGCAUUCUUUAUGCUCCCUUGAAUGCUAGCUUCACCAAAAUAAGCUAAGCUAAAUUUUUAUUCUUUUUUAUCCCCUUGGGAACAGCAAAAUGCAAAAACUCCUUGUUUUAAGCAAUGGCUUCCAAGUCACAUCUGCAUUCUUUAUUGGCAAGAUACAUUUCUUCCACUGCCAGAAUUAUUCUUCCCAUAUAGCUUAGGAAGGGCUAAUUUGGGAAAAGAAAGGCCUGUUCAUUAAACAGACCUAGACCACCUGAAAUUGUCCAUCUUGACCAAGGCAUCAGUAAUCAUAGAAUAUCCAUGGUUCCUCAAGAUUAGCUGGAGUCUUAGCCGGAGACCUGGGAAUGCCACAGGUUGUCCAGAGAGAAGAUAAAAGCAUCAGAGAAUUGAAAACUGUUGAGACGAGUCAGAGAAUCAGGGGUUCUACAAAAAUGUUCACCAGGCUGUGUGAUUGCUUAAUGGUGCUGAGUAUAGAAUUCAGAUCUGCUGAGUCUGAGUAGAGAGUGCAUGUCUCUCUUUGUUACUUCUCAGGAAGACCAGAAGGGUUCACAUUUCCUGAUUCUGCUUCAAGGGACCUCACUCCAAAAGGCAUGACUAUGGAACUCCUCUCCUGGGAACUAGGGAGCCUCACAGCUCUCUCAAGAAGAUAUUAAUAGAGGGGCAGCUAGGUGGCACAGUGGAUAGAACACUGGCCCUGGAGUCAGGAGGACCUGAAUUCAAA